Molecule: ribosomal RNA, 355 nt
Filed under: uncultured bacterium
Lineage: Bacteria
Description: bacterial SSU rRNA
Rfam family: Bacterial small subunit ribosomal RNA
Source: RNAcentral
CUAGCGACUUCAGAGUUUGAUCCUGGCUCAGGAUGAACGCUGGCGGCGUGCUUAACACAUGCAAGUCGAACGGAGUUUAUGUGAUAGAGGUUUCGGCCAAUUGAUCAUAAACUUAGUGGCGGACGGGUGAGUAACGCGUGAGGAAUCUGCCUUGGAGUGGGGAAUAACACAGUGAAAAUUGUGCUAAUACCGCAUAAUGCAAUUGGGUCGCAUGGCUCUGAUUGCCAAAGAUUUAUCGCUCUGAGAUGACCUCGCGUCUGAUUAGGUAGUUGGUGAGGUAACGGCUCACCAAGCCGACGAUCAGUAGCCGGACUGAGAGGUUGGCCGGCCACAUUGGGACUGAGACACGGCCCAG